This 159-nucleotide non-coding RNA is filed under the name Glossina austeni. RNAcentral's name for it is "eukaryotic large subunit ribosomal RNA". It matches the Rfam family "Eukaryotic large subunit ribosomal RNA", at positions 2825 to 2984 of the family's 3401-position model. Lineage: Eukaryota; Metazoa; Arthropoda; Insecta; Diptera; Glossinidae. The record is from RNAcentral.
GAUAAUUGGCUUGUGGCGGCCAAGCAUUCGUAGCGACGUCGCUUUUUGAUCCUUUGAUGCCGGCUCUUCCUAUCAGUUUGAAGCAAAAUUCAUCAAGCGUUGAAUUGUUCACCCAUGUAAGGGGACGUGACCUGGGUUUAGAUCGUCGUGAGACAGGUU